ACUCCUACGGGAGGCAGCAGUGGGGAAUCUUGCGCAAUGGGCGAAAGCCUGACGCAGCAACGCCGCGUGAGCGAAGAAGGCCUUCGGGUUGUAAAGCUCUGUCAGGAGGGACGAAGCCACUCGGGUGAAUAGCCCAGAGGGUGACGGUACCUCCAGAGGAAGCCCCGGCUAACUACGUGCCAGCAGCCGCGGUAAU
Molecule: ribosomal RNA, 196 nt
Filed under: uncultured bacterium
Lineage: Bacteria
Description: partial 16S ribosomal RNA
Rfam family: Bacterial small subunit ribosomal RNA
Source: RNAcentral